GGAGCAGCGGUGGUCGCGGUUCUGGGAUCCUCUGCCCUUGGAGGAAGGAGGCGCGCACGUGGAGGAGAGCCUCGCGCGCUUUGGAGGAAGAGGGGACGCAGUCCAGAAAAUGCUGGAGACUUCCUAGCAAGAAGUUGCUGUGAUGACAUACAGAAAUGCAAAUCAUCAGUGAAAUGUAUGGGAGUGACUCUCUUUCUUAAGAUACCACACAAAUGUUUACUUUGCAUCAGCCCUUGUAUUGCUAAAACAAUUGGACUGAUUUCUUUAGAACCAUAUUCCUUUACAUGCUCUAUAAAGACACUCUGUUCACAGACUGUGGGUGGAGCAACUGUUGAAACCCUAGCAGGAGUAAUUAUAUAGACUUGAGUAUUAAAUAUACUGUUUUGUGAUGAUAAACUAUGAAACUAUCAUCCCCAAGCUUUUAACCUACUAACUUAUAUAAUAGGUUUGAGACAAAAUAUACACUGUCAUACAAAGGACAUAUAUAUGUACAGGGGCACAAGAUGUGAAAACUGUUACUAAGAUUAUUGUGAAUAAAGUUGAGUCUAAUCUUGAAAAUUAUUUUGAUAUAUACAAAAGGAUAAGGACUGAGAAACAUUUUUAUAUUGGUGAGUUAAAUUAUUGUGUAUUUUCAAAUUUAAGUUUAGAAAUCAAUUGCAAUAAAUUAUUACCAUGAAAUGUUUGCAUAUAUGAUUGAAAUGUAUGCCUGUAUGUAAAAUAUCUUAUAAAAAUAAAAUGUAUAAGCUUCCUAG
This is a non-coding RNA of Odocoileus virginianus texanus, 752 nucleotides long. The record is from RefSeq and is a predicted model, not a curated record. Lineage: Eukaryota; Metazoa; Chordata; Mammalia; Artiodactyla; Cervidae.